RNAcentral lists this long non-coding RNA (1142 nucleotides) under Microcebus murinus (gray mouse lemur). RNAcentral's name for it is "lncRNA (ENSMICG00000048471.1)". Lineage: Eukaryota; Metazoa; Chordata; Mammalia; Primates; Cheirogaleidae. The record is from RNAcentral.
CUGGGUGGAAAAUAGCUUGCCUUUCCUAAGUUCUGAUAGCUCUUAAUUCGGCCUUACUCAUUCUUUUGCAGCUUGUAUGGAUUCCAGAGGGAAAUACACUUCUGUGACUGUCUGAUUUGGUGGCUGACUUCCCAAGGAAGGCCUGAGAAGCUGUAUUGGAAGACCCUAAUGCUGCAGAAUUUCUGGAGGCAGAGACUUUUGCUUCUCAUGGCUGCUUCGCUUUUGGAAGACAUCCAAGCCCUACUGACGGUAUCUCCAAGGGAUGGGCCAUCUGUGCUGUUUCACCCACAGGAGCUGCAGCCCAGGAUCCUGGAUGCACCUCCCAGGAAAAGUGCAAGCUUCUUAGCACAGCUGACAAGGUCCCAUGUGAUCUGGCUUCUGCCUGCCCCUCCAGCCACAUCUUCAACGCUCACCCUCUCAAUCUGCACUCCCUGAGCUCCUUCUCCUUCCAGACAUUCUGCUGGGCUGUCUGCAUAGGGAGAUACUGCCUGACUUCAGGGCAGACUCCCACCAGGUCCGUGGUCAAUGAAUGCUCCAGAGAGGGCCAUCUGAUGGGGUUUUGAAGAUAUUUUGGGUUUCCUGGUAAAUAUGAUAACUUAGCCUCCUUUGUUUACUUAUCCAUCCACCCAUCCCUCCAUCAUAAUUAUUGAAUGUCUUCCAGGGUUGGGCACAGGGAAGUGCACUGUUACAGUGUGGUGCACAAAACGAUAUCACUACUGUCAUGGGGCUCACAUCCAAUAGAUGAGUCCAACACCAAACAAGUCAAAUCACAAAUCCAUUUAUAAUAACACUUAGUACUAAAUAAAAUGAAUGGGGUGGUAGCAAAGAAUAAUAGGAAAAUCUGUUGGAAUCAAGGAAUACCACUUUGUGGAGGUGAAAUUUAAGUUGAGAUGAAAGGUGAAAAGGAACCAGAUAUAUAAAGAGUAGGAGAAAGGGUGAUCUAGACCAAGGGACAACUAUGCAAAGAUUCUAAGAAGGAAGGAGCUAGACUAUUAAGGAACUAGAAGAAAGCUCAGUACCAUGGGGUUAAGUAACUACAGAUGAGGUUGGGCAAAAGACUAGGGCAAAAGCAUGCAGGCCCAAGUGGACCCCUGAUGGCCUCUUAUCAAAUCUGACUUUUUAUCUUCACUACAGCAAGAAUC